This 500-nucleotide ribosomal RNA is filed under the name uncultured Myrionecta. Its description in RNAcentral is "SSU rRNA". It matches the Rfam family "Eukaryotic small subunit ribosomal RNA", at positions 35 to 602 of the family's 1831-position model. Lineage: Eukaryota; Ciliophora; Litostomatea; Cyclotrichida; Mesodiniidae. The record is from RNAcentral.
CUGUUCAGAUAGCCAUGCACGUCUAGUACAAACUAAAUGAUGGUGAAACUGCAAAUGGCUCAUUACAACGGUUAUGAUGUACCCGGGAGUUCCGAUGGAUAUUUCCAGUAACACUAGAACUAAUACAUGUCCCUGCGUUUAUUAGUUUCGCACAGUCCGUCGCUGAGUCAUGGUAAACAGUUGAUCGACUCGACGUCCCGGAACAGUUUCCGCCCCAUCAGCUUCGAUGGUUGGGUAUUGGCCUACCAUUGCAACAACGGGUAACGAGGAAUUAGGGUUUGAUUUCGGAGAGGGAGCCUGAGAAACGGCUACCACAUCUACGGAUGGCAGCAGGCGCGCAAAUUACCCAAUGCAGACACUGUGAGGUAGUGACGAGAAAUAAUAAAGCGGGACUUCUGUUUCGCUAUUAUAAUGAGGAAUAACCAAAGGUCAUUCCGAUUAGCAACUGAUGGGAAAGUCUGGUGCCAGCAGCCGCGGUAAUACCAGCGUCAGUAGCAUAU